Molecule: long non-coding RNA, 212 nt
Filed under: Helianthus annuus (common sunflower)
Lineage: Eukaryota; Viridiplantae; Streptophyta; Magnoliopsida; Asterales; Asteraceae
Description: hypothetical non coding rna
Source: RNAcentral
AUGAAGGGAAUAUCUCAUCGAGGUCGUUAACUGUGGAGCGUGGACUUGCUAUCUGGGAGUGCUGGAGUUGUCAUGGAUCGAAGCUAUGAGAUUGCUAGUAUUGACACUUUGGUUUUGAGUUAUUAUGAAACGAUUACAAAACAAUUUAUUAUAGGCUUCCGCUACUCGACAUUAUUGAAUUGAUAACAUGUUUUAUUAAGUAUUUUCUAUUG